This 432-nucleotide ribosomal RNA is filed under the name uncultured bacterium. Its description in RNAcentral is "partial 16S ribosomal RNA". It matches the Rfam family "Bacterial small subunit ribosomal RNA", at positions 29 to 507 of the family's 1533-position model. The record is from RNAcentral.
ACGAACGCUGGCGGCAUGCCUAACACAUGCACGUCGAACGAGACCUUCGGGUCUAGUGGCGCACGGGUGCGUAACGCGUGGGAACCUGCCCUUAGGUUCGGAAUAACUCCCCGAAAGGGGUGCUAAUACCGGAUAAUGUCUUCGGACCAAAGAUUUAUCGCCUUUGGAUGGGCCCGCGUUGGAUUAGCUAGUUGGUAGGGUAAAAGCCUACCAAGGCGACGAUCCAUAGCUGGUCUGAGAGGAUGAUCAGCCACACUGGGACUGAGACACGGCCCAGACUCCUACGGGAGGCAGCAGUGGGGAAUAUUGGACAAUGGGCGAAAGCCUGAUCCAGCAAUGCCGCGUGAGUGAUGAAGGCCUUAGGGUUGUAAAGCUCUUUUACCCGGGAUGAUAAUGACAGUACCGGGAGAAUAAGCGCCGGCUAACUCCGUG